UACAGAGGGUGCAAGCGUUAAUCGGAAUUACUGGGCGUAAAGCGUGCGUAGGUGGUUCUUUAAGUCAGGUGUGAAAUCCCUGGGCUCAACCUGGGAACUGCAUUUGAUACUGAAGAGCUAGAGUGUGAUAGAGGAUAGUGGAAUUCCCGGUGUAGCGGUGAAAUGCGUAGAUAUCAGGAGGAACACCCAUGGCGAAGGCAGCUUCCUGGGUCCAAUCUGACGCUGAGGCGCGAAAGCGUGGGGAGCGAACGGG
Molecule: ribosomal RNA, 253 nt
Filed under: uncultured bacterium
Lineage: Bacteria
Description: partial 16S ribosomal RNA
Rfam family: Bacterial small subunit ribosomal RNA
Source: RNAcentral